CACUAUUUAUAUGACAUUCUGCCUUUUUCACUGCAAGAGAAAAGCCUUGGAUUAGGUGAUUCUUAGCUGUCAUGGAAUGCGAACUUGAGGAAAUGUCGGGCUAAUUUGGCUGCAGAGAGAAAGCAAUGACAAUAAAUUUGAGACAAGAAACAAGGUUUAAACAGGGUCCAUUUUGUUUGGUGAAUAGUGAGCUAUCACAUUUCAACUGUUUCCUUUACAUAAGCCCGUGCAGCUUAAUGCCUUAAUAGCCAUUGUGUUAUUAUUUUGUUAUUCUAACUUUAGUCGUUUGUGCUACCUGCAUCAGCUGAUCAAUGUUUUCUGAAUUUCAGAGGUGGCUAGGAAUGACCCAACGUGAGCUAAUAUGCUGUCACACUCUAUCAAAACAGUUGCAGACUGUCUGAAGAAACUCCUGUUUGAGUGUUAUCUGCGACUCAAAGAAUACUACAAGCCAUUGACCCUGCAAAUCCGUCUGUAAGCAGCUGCAUCUUUCCCUGAGGCGGCACGAAGAAGGAAGUUCCGUAGCUGUGAUAUCAUCGACUAACUUUCUGGGUGGGAGUCCCAGUUUUCUGUAGAAGAUUGCAACAAAGUAUUCCAGGGUGAAAAUCAAGCCUUUCUGAUUAGCAGAAAUGGUGGGCCUCCUAAUCAAAACAUGGCUCCUGGGCCCACAACAAGCUUUUUGUGGUCAGCCACAGUUCAGUUGUAAUUCCAAUUGGUAACUUUUGAAAGCACCACAAAUCAGUUUUGUGUGUGUUGUGUGACAAUGGUAUAGUUCUUGCAGCCAUGAUUUAGGCAAAGUAAGUUUUAGAACAUUAGUUACUGUAAAGAUAGCAUUGUGAAUGUGCAAGUUCUCUGGAAAGAAGUUGCCUUUACUAAGGACUAGCUGUAUUAGUCAUAUUCAUAGCAACCAUACUGAAUCACAUUUGUAUUUAAGAAAUAAACUGCAUUUUUUACUGCUCU
Molecule: long non-coding RNA, 957 nt
Filed under: Dermacentor andersoni
Lineage: Eukaryota; Metazoa; Arthropoda; Arachnida; Ixodida; Ixodidae
Description: uncharacterized LOC126545819
Source: RNAcentral